Long non-coding RNA from Carassius gibelio (silver crucian carp), 1993 nucleotides. RefSeq lists it as uncharacterized. Lineage: Eukaryota; Metazoa; Chordata; Actinopteri; Cypriniformes; Cyprinidae. The transcript is spliced from 3 exons. The record is from RefSeq and is a predicted model, not a curated record.
CUCCAUGACCUUUCUCUCAUGCACAGUCACAUUCUGGCACAUGCACACUUACAAAUAAACACGUUUUUAUAAAGGCAGUUCUCUCUCUCUCUCAUGCUUCUUCUUUUCCCCCUCCUCUCUGCCUGGCACUCUGCCAAACGCGUAGAUAGUCUGACUUCUCUGUAAAUGGAAAAUGACCAUGCCUCUGUGUUUCAGGCCAGUACUCAUAUUCAUACUGGUCAGCCAAAGUCAACCUUGACUGCCACCUCUCGCUCUCCCACACUAAAUGACACGCUCUCUGAAGCCAGGGGGUCUGGUCAGCGGCCCAACAGAUGGUAGUUAACAGGCUGGUGUUGUUUCCAGAGGUCAGUGCGUCAGACAUGACCUCCUUGGUCAUAGGAUGAAAGCAAAGAGAUUCUGUCUGUAUUUUUGGAAUCUGCAUACAAUCACGACUUAUGUGGGACAAAUUUUUUCCCCAUUUGAAUGUCAAACAGCAGUGUGGGGAAAUGAUAAAAGCAGGUUAACAUUUCAUUUUGUCCUUUUUGUUAAAUGAAGAUCAAAUUAUUGUCAAUGCAUAAUAAAAAAAAAAUAAGAUAAUGCUUAGAAAAAAAUGUGGUUUGCUAGUUUUUUGCUAUUUUUCAAAUGUCCUACUAAAAUAUCCUGAAUCAUAAGUCACAUGUAAAUCAAGGUAAAUGUUACUUGUAAAUAGAAUAUUUGUAUUGUGCAAUGUGUUUUACAUUUCUCCAAUCUAGAUGUAUUUGUCAAACCAAAAAAUAAAAGUUAGACGAUCAUUAUGUAUUUAGGAUACAUCAGAUCCUAGCUAUGAAUAUAGUAAUUAGACAUUAAUUAUUGGACAAUGUUAGGAGACAAAUUUAAAACUAGCAUAACUGUACAAAUCUACAAGAAACAUCUUCUGAUGGGAUACAAAAGUAGCAGUGUAGUGAAAGAUUAAAGCCAUCGCUUCUCUGUUUUCUGUUAUAAUUUUCAUAGAUAAAAACUUUGAUGUCCCACCCACUCCAUGGGUUGUUGGAUUUCUCCAUCCUUGAUGACUUUAAUGAUCAGCGUUGUUUUCCCUCUCUGUGCCCUUGUUUAAUUUCCACUUCCUGCUUUAUUCUUGGCUUAAACCAAACGAAAGACAGCUGUGCGGCGGAGCGAGGGGGCAGGUUAUAUGAGAGUCCUGUUUUAACUGGUUGUGGGAACCAGAGUGUGCGGUGGUGUGUAGCACUAUCAAUGUAAAGAGGCAUGGCAGAGACAGCCUUGUUUCCGGCCUUCUGUAUUUCUGGCCAGGUAAAAACUCUCCGGCCCAGGCUGCAGGCUCUAGACCACAUCAAGUAUUGUUUGGCAAUUUAAAUAAUUACAAACUGCAAACUAUAUUAAAGCACAGCUCUAUAUAAACUACUAUAUAUAUACAUUUUUACCUGCAUACUUACAGUACUACAUACUCAUGUAAAGCAAUAUAUACUAUAAAGCAAAUCUCAACUGCUUGAUUGCUUGUAUCAUUGCAAAAUAUAAAUGAUUAUAUAACCCAGCUCUAAUCUGCUACAUGUGACUACAAGACAUAAAUAUGUUAAGGUAUUGUAAACAUUAACAUCAUGAUUUUCUGUGAAGCUGCUUUGAAACUGUGUAAAGAGCGCUUUAAAAAAUAAAUUGUAAUUAUACCCUGUAGCCAAAGUGUUACUAAAUUUGACCAUGAGCAGAAUUUGUACCACUACAUGUAUAACAUGAGAGAAAGUUUGUUUUUUAUGCCUUUAAGGGUGAUGCAGAAGUGUUGCUAUUUGUUUACCGCACUUUUGACAUCGAAGGAAGUGACUAAACUUUUAUAAGGCAACAGGACCUGAAAAAAUAAAAGGAGCUUGAGUAAAUAUAGAUUUAGCACACAUGCACUGGGAAGAAGUGAAUUUCUAAAGACUUGGGGGCGAGGAAAAGAAAACAGCUGACUCAUUGAGGGUUCAGUGAACUUCAUAUUUAAAUAUGGAUCCUUUGUCUCUUUUUCAUCUUCCUUUUCUUUCUUUUA